This 419-nucleotide ribosomal RNA is filed under the name uncultured bacterium. RNAcentral's name for it is "bacterial SSU rRNA". It matches the Rfam family "Bacterial small subunit ribosomal RNA", at positions 28 to 490 of the family's 1533-position model. The record is from RNAcentral.
GACGAACGCUGGCGGCAGGCUUAACACAUGCAAGUCGAACGGGUGUAGCAAUACAUCAGUGGCAGACGGGCGAGUAACACGUGGGAACCUUCCUAGGGGUACGGAACAACUCAGGGAAACUUGAGCUAAUACCGUAUACGUCCGUAAGGAGAAAGAUUCAUCGCCCCUAGACGGGCCCGCGUCGGAUUAGGUAGUUGGUGGGGUAACGGCCUACCAAGCCUACGAUCCGUAGCUGAUCUGAGAGGAUGAUCAGCCACACUGGGACUGAGACACGGCCCAGACUCCUACGGGAGGCAGCAGUGGGGAAUCUUGGACAAUGGGCGCAAGCCUGAUCCAGCCAUGCCGCGUGAGUGAAGAAGGCCUUAAGGGUUGUAAAGCUCUUUUACCAGGGACGAUAAUGACGGUACCUGGAGAAUAAG